UGGCUCGAGUGGCGAACGGGUGAGUAACACGUGAGUAACCUGCCCUUGACUUUGGGAUAACUUCAGGAAACUGGGGCUAGUACCGGAUAGGAGCUCCUGCUGCAUGGUGGGGGUUGGAAAGUUUCGGCGGUUGGGGAUGGACUCGCGGCUUAUCAGCUUGUUGGUGGGGUAGUGGCUUACCAAGGCUUUGACGGGUAGCCGGCCUGAGAGGGUGACCGGCCACAUUGGGACUGAGAUACGGCCCAG
RNAcentral lists this ribosomal RNA (246 nucleotides) under uncultured Actinomycetales bacterium. RNAcentral's name for it is "partial 16S ribosomal RNA". It matches the Rfam family "Bacterial small subunit ribosomal RNA", at positions 87 to 334 of the family's 1533-position model. Lineage: Bacteria; Bacillati; Actinomycetota; Actinomycetes; Actinomycetales. The record is from RNAcentral.